UCCUUCUUCAUCCAUUCUGGGCCAUGAGUGAGAAGUGUAUGCUGAGCACAGCAGAGCAGCAAGAUAGGAAAGCCAGAAUCCCUCUUGAUUUGAUGAAGAUCCCGUUUGUUCAGGAGGAAGCCAGUUCAUGGACAGCCUUAUGGAAUGACCCAUACAGUGAAGAACUGCAGCUCCUUGCCAACAAAAACAUAUUGCCAUGUUUCCUUCAAAGAAAUUACACUGCUUUGUGAUUUAUCUGUGGUUUAUCCUCCCACAAAUGGAGAUUGGAUAAGUAUUUGUUAUGGUGGUCUGUGAUCCGUGAUUACAACUCUCUGGAAGGUCAUAUGAUG
Molecule: long non-coding RNA, 329 nt
Organism: Prionailurus viverrinus (fishing cat)
Lineage: Eukaryota; Metazoa; Chordata; Mammalia; Carnivora; Felidae
Exons: 4
Source: RefSeq, a predicted model, not a curated record